CUACGCUGGCGGCGGCUACCUAUGGAUUACGAACGGUAACAGGAAGCAGCUUGCUGCUUUGCUGACGAGUGGCGGACGGGUGAGUAAUGUCUGGGAAACUGCCUGAUGGAGGGGGAUAACUACUGGAAACGGUAGCUAAUACCGCAUAACGUCGCAAGACCAAAGAGGGGGACCUUCGGGCCUCUUGCCAUCGGAUGUGCCCAGAUGGGAUUAGCUAGUAGGUGGGGUAACGGCUCACCUAGGCGACGAUCCCUAGCUGGUCUGAGAGGAUGACCAGCCACACUGGAACUGAGACACGGUCCAGACUCCUACGGGAGGCAGCAGUGGGGAAUAUUGCACAAAGGGCGCAAGCCUGAUGCAGCCAUGCCGCGUGUAUGAAGAAGGCCUUCGGGUUUGUCAAGUACUUUCAAGCGGGGAGGAAGGCGAUAAGGUUAAUAACCUUGUCGAUUGACGUUACCCGAAGAAGAGGCAACGGCUAACUCCGUGACCAGCAGACCAGAGGUAAAACAGAGGGUGCAAGCGUUAAUCGGAAUUACUAGGGCGAUAAACGCACGCCGGCGGUCUGAUAAGUCGAUGUUAAAUCCCCGGGCUCAACAUGAAACUGCAUCAAAUGGCAG
This 617-nucleotide ribosomal RNA is filed under the name uncultured Enterobacter sp. RNAcentral's name for it is "bacterial SSU rRNA". It matches the Rfam family "Bacterial small subunit ribosomal RNA", at positions 31 to 639 of the family's 1533-position model. The record is from RNAcentral. Lineage: Bacteria; Pseudomonadati; Pseudomonadota; Gammaproteobacteria; Enterobacterales; Enterobacteriaceae.